This 173-nucleotide ribosomal RNA is filed under the name uncultured bacterium. RNAcentral describes it as "partial 16S ribosomal RNA". It matches the Rfam family "Bacterial small subunit ribosomal RNA", at positions 180 to 354 of the family's 1533-position model. The record is from RNAcentral.
GGGAAGCCGCAUGGCUUUUCCCUGAAAACUCCGGUGGUACAGGAUGGGCCCGCGUCUGAUUAGCCAGUUGGCAGGGUAACGGCCUACCAAAGCGACGAUCAGUAGCCGGCCUGAGAGGGCGGACGGCCACACUGGGACUGAGACACGGCCCAGACUCCUACGGGAGGCAGCAG